CUCCUCUUGCUCCUCCCGGGCGGGGAAACCCAGCCCCGCGCUCGUCUUUGGGGCCACCGGUCGCCCCCGCCUCCGGGACCUGCGGGGAGGGCCCGCGAGAGAUGGAGACGAGAGAUCUGGACUUCUGAACAUCUACCGGAAAAGAUAAAAUGUGCAAGCCCUUCAGAACGCUGGGGAGGUUGGGCUGAACUGCAGUGGGAGAGGAGAAGAGAUGCUGGCGUGAAGGGCUGGGGCAGAAGAUCAGGGGAAAAUUGCGGAUGAUCUGAAUGAUAGCAGUGACCACCAGCAACCUACAGAGCUGCCCAACCAGGAAAUUGUCAGAUGGAAGCAACGCUUGCAGGCAAAGAAGGCUGAAGCAGGCCAAGGCAGGAAUGAAACAGUCAUAAAUGUUGGAGUGAAGCGACUGACCUCCCCGGUCCACACCCCGGCCCAGCGUCCUGCAUCUGCUGGAGGAUGGUGGAGACCAUGUGGAGGAUGGGGACUUGGCAGUGGAGGAGAACAUGGAAGCAGGAUAUGGCAGUCCCCUAGCGUCCCAGCCACAAGUCCUCUGAAGAGUGUGGAUGACGAUGGUGACUUAGGUGCAUCCUUCGAAUGUCCUGAGGGGGAGACUGGAGAAGCAGACACGCAAUUGUGGGAAGAAAUCAAAGGCAUAAAGAACUCACAGCACAAGUCCAAAGUCUGAUCAGCGAGCAGGCCUCUCUGCAGGGUGCAAGGGCACAGCUGGAGAGGGAGCUCCCGAAGCUACAGCCGACGCUUCCUGUUCUGCCUGAUCUCCACCGAGAACACAUGAUGGGGCCUCAUGGGAGUCCACAGAGGAGGACGCCUACUGCCUGGACCUUGAGCAGAGACUUCACAAGGUGCACACAUACAUGAACCACAUGUCACAACCCACAACCACUACAAGAAGAUGGCCCAAGACCUGGCCCAGAAAUUGAAGAAAGACACUUCCAGUUUUCAGAGGGAGAUCCUCUGCCACAAGAGAACAGCCCAGGAAAGCUAGAUGGCCGCUGCGACCACUGAGAUAGAACUCCAGGUGCUGCAGAAAGAAAAUGACUA
RNAcentral lists this long non-coding RNA (1056 nucleotides) under Homo sapiens (human). RNAcentral's name for it is "non-protein coding lnc-SLC24A3-1:17". The record is from RNAcentral. Lineage: Eukaryota; Metazoa; Chordata; Mammalia; Primates; Hominidae.